RNAcentral lists this ribosomal RNA (274 nucleotides) under uncultured bacterium. RNAcentral describes it as "partial 16S ribosomal RNA". It matches the Rfam family "Bacterial small subunit ribosomal RNA", at positions 523 to 796 of the family's 1533-position model. The record is from RNAcentral.
CUACGGAGGGGGCUAGCGUUGUUCGGAGUUACUGGGCGUAAAGCGUACGUAGGCGGACUGAUCAGUUGGGGGUGAAAUCCCAGGGCUUAACCCUGGAACUGCCUUCAAUACUGUCAGUCUUGAGAUUGGAAGAGGUGAGUGGAAUUCCUAGUGUAGAGGUGAAAUUCAUAGAUAUUAGGAGGAACACCAGUGGCGAAGGCGGCUCACUGGUCCAAUACUGACGCUGAGGUACGAAAGCGUGGGGAGCAAACAGGAUUAGAAACCCUAGUAGUCC